UCUCCAUUAGCAAGCCAUUGCUGCUUCGACCUCUGGGCCCAAUAUAAUUCUUGUUUAUUCAGCAAAUCAUCCAACUUACCCCUUAAUUCCCAAUCAUAUUUGACAUCACCUUUCUUGAAGGAGAAAAGCAAUCUCUUCACCAAGACUAAGGUAAUUAUGGACUCUUUCAGUUGAUGUCAGUGUAAUUUAGUGUAAAUUUAGUAACUUCAGCCUUUCAUUACAUCUUAGCAGAGUGAAAAUUGCUUAAUAAAUCCAAUUAAAUUUAUGUGUGUGUUUUAAAAGCGAGGACCGUUGAUCUCCAUUGAGUAUGAAAUAUCAUCUAAUUGGUUGGUAACUAUGUCAAGUUGCAGAAUAGAAUUAGCUUCAUUAAUUUGUUUGUCUAUUUUCUUCAUGGUUGAGUUAAUGAAUAUUUUUUUCUCACUCAUACUUCUGUGUUUUGUUUAAUUUUCUUAAUUGUUGUUGCUUAUUAUGAAAAGAUUAUUUUUAAUAGGCCCGUAAGGACGCCACCCUAGUGGUUGCAAAUCUGCAGAGACAGCAGGUUUAUUCACAUAUUUUUAGUGUUUUAUUUUAUUUUAUUUAUUUUACCUUAACUUUGUAACACACAUGCUGUUACAACUAUUCGGAAAACAUUGGCAGAAAUUGAUGAGCAAGCGGAGCUUCUACCUGAUGGAACCCUUCUCGUUGGUGGUCAAGCAAUUGCAGUCAUCUAUUUCAGAGCUGGGUAUGCACCAACUGAUUAUCCCUCAGAAUCAGUGAGUAGAUUCACUUUUGCAGAAUCAAGUUUUUUGUCA
Molecule: non-coding RNA, 791 nt
Organism: Camellia sinensis
Lineage: Eukaryota; Viridiplantae; Streptophyta; Magnoliopsida; Ericales; Theaceae
Source: RefSeq, a predicted model, not a curated record